Molecule: long non-coding RNA, 581 nt
Filed under: Mus musculus (house mouse)
Lineage: Eukaryota; Metazoa; Chordata; Mammalia; Rodentia; Muridae
Description: predicted gene 12610
Source: RNAcentral
UUGCACCCAGAGACCAAAGGACACCGUGAUUUGAUCCCCUGAGCUGAAUGCUUUCCAUGUUCCAGGCAGUGUGACAGUGUCUCUCACGUGAGAAAGAAACAGGGAUUCUCUGUAUAGCCCUGCUGUCCUGGAACUCAUGCUGCAGAUGAGGCUGACCCUUGAAGUGAGAGAGCUGCUUGCCCCUGCCUUCUUACUGCUGAGAUUAAAGGUCUGUGUAUCAUUUUUGAGAUAAACUCAGUGUAAACUAUAAGGCAAAGACAUGUUCGAAUUUAAUCUACAUAUAACACCCAGCAUGGAGAGAAUCAGAAACCAAGAGCAUGGUGUACUCAGUCUAACCCACAGGUUAUGGAGGCAGGGCUGACACAGCGACCUCCUCAUGUGGAAUCACCCGGAACCAUUUCUGUUCCAGCUCUUCUGUUUUUUGGCAAGUGCAUGUGAGUUUCUGGAUGACUUAUACUGAUUUUAGAUCAAGCAUGAGACUCAGAAUAGUUACUGGGUGACAUAAAAUGACAGAAACACCUUUGUACUGAGCGGAACUUCUGUGUUGGUGAAAUGAUAAAUAUAAAUGCAAACGAAAACUA